This 217-nucleotide ribosomal RNA is filed under the name uncultured bacterium. Its description in RNAcentral is "partial 16S ribosomal RNA". It matches the Rfam family "Bacterial small subunit ribosomal RNA", at positions 524 to 739 of the family's 1533-position model. The record is from RNAcentral.
UACGGAGGGUGCAAACGUUGCUCGGAAUCAUUGGGCGUAAAGCGCACGUAGGCGGCCUGUUAAGUCGGGUGUGAAAUCCCUGGGCUCAACCCAGGAAGUGCACUCGAAACUGGCGGGCGUUGAGUACUGAAGAGGAUCGCGGAAUUCCCGGUGUAGAGGUGAAAUUCGUAGAUAUCGGGAGGAACACCAGUGGCGAAGGCGGCGAUCUGGGCGAGAU